Molecule: ribosomal RNA, 427 nt
Filed under: uncultured bacterium
Lineage: Bacteria
Description: bacterial SSU rRNA
Rfam family: Bacterial small subunit ribosomal RNA
Source: RNAcentral
UCGAGAAUUUUUCACAAUGGGCGAAAGCCUGAUGGAGCGACGCCGCGUGGGGGAUGAAUGGCUUCGGCCCGUAAACCCCUGUCAUUUGUGAACAAAUUGGUUCACUUAAUACUUGAACCAUUGAUAGUAGCGAAAGAGGAAGGGACGGCUAACUCUGUGCCAGCAGCCGCGGUAAUACAGAGGUCCCAAGCGUUGUUCGGAUUUACUGGGCGUAAAGGGUGCGUAGGUGGUUGGAUAAGUCUGAUGUGAAAUCUCCGAGCUUAACUCGGAAAUGGCAUUGGAAACUAUUCGACUAGAGAGUUGGAGGGGGGACUGGAAUACUUGGUGUAGCAGUGAAAUGCGUAGAUAUCAAGUGGAACACCAGUGGCGAAGGCGAGUCCCUGGACAACUUCUGACACUGAGGCACGAAAGCUAGGGGAGCAAACAG